This 971-nucleotide ribosomal RNA is filed under the name Neocamarosporium korfii. RNAcentral's name for it is "SSU rRNA". It matches the Rfam family "Eukaryotic small subunit ribosomal RNA", at positions 121 to 1102 of the family's 1831-position model. RNAcentral also lists the same sequence under 1 other name. Lineage: Eukaryota; Fungi; Ascomycota; Dothideomycetes; Neocamarosporiaceae. The record is from RNAcentral.
UUGAUAGUACCUUACUACUUGGAUAACCGUGGUAAUUCUAGAGCUAAUACAUGCUGAAAACCCCAACUUCGGAAGGGGUGUAUUUAUUAGAUAAAAAACCAACGCCCUUCGGGGCUUCUUGGUGAUUCAUAAUAACUUUACGGAUCGCAUGGCCUUGCGCCGGCGACGGUUCAUUCAAAUUUCUGCCCUAUCAACUUUCGAUGGUAAGGUAUUGGCUUACCAUGGUUUCAACGGGUAACGGGGAAUUAGGGUUCGAUUCCGGAGAGGGAGCCUGAGAAACGGCUACCACAUCCAAGGAAGGCAGCAGGCGCGCAAAUUACCCAAUCCCGACACGGGGAGGUAGUGACAAUAAAUACUGAUACAGGGCUCUUUUGGGUCUUGUAAUUGGAAUGAGUACAAUUUAAACCUCUUAACGAGGAACAAUUGGAGGGCAAGUCUGGUGCCAGCAGCCGCGGUAAUUCCAGCUCCAAUAGCGUAUAUUAAAGUUGUUGCAGUUAAAAAGCUCGUAGUUGAAACUUGGGUCUGGCUGGCAGGUCCGCCUCACCGCGUGUACUUGUCCGGCCGGGCCUUCCUUCUGGAGAACCUCAUGCCCUUCACUGGGCGUGUUGGGGACCAGGACUUUUACUUUGAAAAAAUUAGAGUGUUCAAAGCAGGCCUUUGCUCGAAUACGUUAGCAUGGAAUAAUAGAAUAGGACGUGCGUUCCUAUUUUGUUGGUUUCUAGGAACGCCGUAAUGAUUAAUAGGGACAGUCGGGGGCAUCAGUAUUCAAUUGUCAGAGGUGAAAUUCUUGGAUUUAUUGAAGACUAACUACUGCGAAAGCAUUUGCCAAGGAUGUUUUCAUUAAUCAGUGAACGAAAGUUAGGGGAUCGAAGACGAUCAGAUACCGUCGUAGUCUUAACCGUAAACUAUGCCGACUAGGGAUCGGGCGAUGUUCUUUUUCUGACUCGCUCGGCACCUUACGAGAAAUCAAA